GAUGAAGAACGUAGCGAAAUGCGAUAAGUAGUGUGAAUUGCAGAAUUCAGUGAAUCAUCGAAUCUUUGAACGCACAUUGCGCCCCUUGGUAUUCCAUGGGGCAUGCCUGUUCGAGCGUCAUUUGUACCUUCAAGCUUUGCUUGGUGUUGGGUGUUUGUCCUGAGGGACUCGCUUUAAAGUAAUUGGCAGCCAGUGUUUGGUUUUGAAGCGCAGCACAAGUCGCGAUUCAAAGCUAUACGCCCGCUUCCACAAGCCUUUUUCACUUUUGACCUCGGAUCAGGUAGGGAUACCCGCUGAACUUAAGCAUAUCAAUAAGCGGAGGA
Molecule: unclassified non-coding RNA, 323 nt
Filed under: soil metagenome
Description: partial contains 5.8S ribosomal RNA, internal transcribed spacer 2, and large subunit ribosomal RNA
Rfam family: 5.8S ribosomal RNA (bases 1-120)
Source: RNAcentral